RNAcentral lists this ribosomal RNA (497 nucleotides) under uncultured bacterium. RNAcentral's name for it is "partial 16S ribosomal RNA". It matches the Rfam family "Bacterial small subunit ribosomal RNA", at positions 28 to 507 of the family's 1533-position model. The record is from RNAcentral.
GACGAACGCUGGCGGCGUGCCUAAUACAUGCAAGUUGAGCGCUGAAGGUUGGUACUUGUACCAACUGGAUGAGCAGCGAACGGGUGAGUAACGCGUGGGGAAUCUGCCUUUGAGCGGGGGACAACAUUUGGAAACGAAUGCUAAUACCGCAUAAAAACUUUAAACACAAGUUUUAAGUUUGAAAGAUGCAAUUGCAUCACUCAAAGAUGAUCCCGCGUUGUAUUAGCUAGUUGGUGAGGUAAAGGCUCACCAAGGCGAUGAUACAUAGCCGACCUGGGAGGGUGAUCGGCCACAUUGGGACUGAGACACGGCCCAAACUCCUACGGGAGGCAGCAGUAGGGAAUCUUCGGCAAUGGACGAAAGUCUGACCGAGCAACGCCGCGUGAGUGAAGAAGGGUGUCGGAUCGUAAAACUCUGUUGGUAGAGAAGAACGUUGGUGAGAGUGGAAAGCUCAUCAAGUGACGGUAACUACCCAGAAAGGGACGGCUAACUACGUG